ACAAAGGCUCUUUUCAGAGCCGCCCACAAUGGUCAUAAAGGGUUG
Non-coding RNA from Phalacrocorax carbo (great cormorant), 45 nucleotides. Lineage: Eukaryota; Metazoa; Chordata; Aves; Suliformes; Phalacrocoracidae. The record is from Rfam.